This is an RNA transcript of Lates calcarifer (barramundi perch), 3826 nucleotides long. It is a transcript of the gene named cytochrome c oxidase subunit 1-like, with no coding region annotated. The transcript has a single exon. The record is from RefSeq and is a predicted model, not a curated record. NCBI's taxonomy places the organism in Eukaryota, Metazoa, Chordata, Actinopteri, Centropomidae.
AUGGCAUUUCCCCGAAUGAACAAUAUAAGCUUCUGACUUCUCCCCCCUUCUUUCCUCCUUCUCCUGGCUUCUUCUGGGGUAGAGGCUGGAGCUGGGACCGGUUGGACUGUAUACCCUCCCCUUGCUAGCAACCUCGCUCACGCUGGAGCAUCCGUCGAUCUGACCAUCUUUUCUCUCCACUUAGCGGGUGUCUCCUCAAUUCUUGGAGCCAUUAACUUUAUCACGACCAUUAUUAACAUAAAACCCGCUACCGUCUCCAUAUAUCAAAUCCCCCUAUUCGUCUGAGCAGUCUUGAUUACAGCCGUUCUUCUUCUACUCUCCCUCCCAGUCCUAGCCGCCGGUAUCACCAUGCUUCUUACAGAUCGUAACCUAAACACAGCAUUCUUCGAUCCUGCCGGAGGGGGAGACCCGAUUCUCUAUCAACAUCUGUUCUGGUUCUUCGGCCACCCGGAGGUGUACAUUCUUAUCCUCCCCGGCUUUGGAAUAAUUUCACAUGUCGUAGCCUACUACUGUGGGAAAAAAGAACCCUUCGGAUACAUGGGCAUAGUCUGAGCUAUAAUAGCUAUUGGCCUCUUAGGAUUUAUCGUAUGGGCCCACCAUAUGUUCACCGUAGGGAUGGACGUUGACACACGCGCCUACUUUACAUCCGCAACUAUGAUUAUUGCCAUCCCAACUGGCGUAAAAGUCUUCAGCUGACUUGCAACAAUCCACGGCGGAAACAUUAAAUGAGACACCCCAAUGCUCUGAGCUCUCGGAUUCAUCUUCCUAUUCACAGUCGGAGGCCUGACUGGUAUUAUCCUGGCCAACUCUUCCCUAGACAUCGUUCUCCACGACACAUACUACGUAGUUGCCCACUUCCACUACGUCCUGUCUAUGGGGGCCGUAUUCGCAAUUGUUGCCGGCUUUGUCCACUGAUUCCCUCUAUUUACAGGUUACACCCUGCACAGCACAUGAACAAAAAUCCACUUCGGAAUCAUAUUCGCAGGGGUAAACUUAACUUUCUUCCCUCAGCACUUCCUAGGACUAGCCGGAAUGCCUCGACGAUACUCAGACUACCCGGAUGCCUACGCCCUAUGAAACACUAUGUCCUCCAUUGGGUCUCUAGUAUCCCUUGUAGCCGUUAUUUUAUUCUUGUUCAUUAUCUGAGAAGCAUUCACUGCCAAACGUGGAGUCUUAGCAGUAGAAUUCACCGCCACAAACAUAGAAUGACUUCACGGCUGUCCUCCCCCCUAUCACACAUUCGAACAACCUGCCUUUGUCCAAGCUCGAAAUAACUAACGAGAAAGGGAGGAAUUGAACCCCCAUAGAUUGGUUUCAAGCCAACCACAUAACCGCUCUGUCACUUCCUUAUAAGACACUAGUAAAACCAUUACGCUGCCUUGUCAAGGCAAAAUUGCAGGUUAGAUUCCUGCGUGUCUUAGACAAACAAUGGCACAUCCUUCACAGCUAGGUUUUCAAGAUGCAGCUUCACCAUUAAUAGAAGAACUCCUCCACUUCCAUGAUCACGCCCUAAUAAUCGUUUUCCUGAUUAGCGCUUUCGUCCUAUACAUUAUUGUAGCCAUAAUCACCUCUAAGCUAACGGACAAACUUAUUCUAGACUCCCAGGAAAUUGAGGUCAUCUGAACCGUCCUCCCGGCAAUUGUGCUGAUUAUGAUUGCCCUCCCAUCCCUCCGAAUCCUUUACCUAAUAGAUGAAAUCAAUGAUCCACAUCUUACAAUUAAAGCAAUGGGCACCAAUGAUACUGAAGCUACGAAUAUACAGACUAUGACGAUCUCGGCUUUGACUCCUACAUGGUCCCAACACAAGAUCUUACUCCCGGCCAGUUUCGGCUCCUAGAGGCAGAUCACCGAAUGGUAAUCCCCGUAGAAUCCCCAAUCCGAGUCCUCAUCUCCGCAGAAGACGUACUUCAUUCUUGAGCCGUACCAUCCCUGGGCGUAAAAGUAGAUGCAAUUCCUGGCCGGCUCAACCAAACAACCUUUAUUGUUAACCGACCAGGCAUCCUCUACGGACAAUGCUCUGAAAUCUGCGGGGCUAACCACAGCUUCAUACCCAUUGUGAUCGAAGCAGUUCCCCUGCCACACUUCGAAAACUGAACAUCGCUAAUAAUGGCAGAAUACACCUCGCUAAGAAGCUAAGUCAGGCAAGCAGCGUUAGCCUUUUAAGCUAAAGAUUGGUGGCGCCUAAUCACCCUUAGCGAAUAUGCCUCAACUAAACCCCGCCCCAUGGCUCGCCAUCCUAACCUUUUCCUGGCUCAUCUUCCUAACAGUAAUUCCUCCUAAAAUUCUAGCCCACUCUUUCCCUAAUGAACCUACCCCCCACAGCACAAAAGCUCCUAAAACUGAUCCCUGAAUGUGACCAUGGCAUUAAGCUUUUUUGACCAAUUUAUAUCUCCAAAUUUUUUAGGAAUUCCGCUGAUUGCUAUGGCCAUUGCCCUCCCAUGGACCCUCUAUCCAACACCAUCAACUCGAUGAUUAAGCAACCGACUACUAACCCUUCAAAACUGAUCAAUCAACCGAUUUACUCAACAGCUUCUUCUGCCUUUAAAUCAAGAGGGGCACACAAAUGAGCCGCCCUAUUGGCCUCCUUAAUAAUUUUCCUGCUAUCACUAAAUAUACUAGGCCUCCUUCCAUACACCUUCACCCCCACCACACAACUAUCUCUCAACCUAGGUCUCGCAGUCCCCCUGUGACUCGCAACAGUAAUUAUUGGAAUGCGAAACCGACCAACCCACGCCCUAGGCCACCUUCUCCCAGAGGGAACCCCCUCCUGCUAAUUCCAAUCCUAAUUAUCAUCGAAACAAUCAGUCUCCUCAUCCGUCCAAUUGCUCUCGGAGUCCGACUAACAGCCAAUCUCACAGCAGGACACUUACUAAUUCAACUCAUCGCCACCGCUUCUUUUGUCCUCCUUCCACUAAUACCAACGGUGGCCGUCCUGACAACUGCCCUACUGUUUUUACUCACCCUCCUUGAAGUGGCCGUUGCUAUAAUUCAAGCUUAUGUCUUCGUCUUACUUCUGAGCCUCUACCUACAAGAAAACGUAUAAUGGCACAUCACUCACACCCCUACCAUAUAGUUGACCCCAGCCCAUGACCCCUAACAGGAGCUAUUGCCGCCUACUAAUAACGUCAGGACUCGCAGUCUGAUUCCACUUCCACUCCACCUCUUUGAUACUACUCGGGACAAUUUUACUUACCCUAACAGUAAUCCAAUGAUGACGAGACAUCGUACGAGAAGGAACAUUUCAAGGCCAUCACACCCCACCAGUCCAAAAAGGCCUCCGAUACGGAAUAAUCCUCUUCAUCACAUCAGAGGUACUAUUUUUCCUAGGCUUUUUCUGAGCAUUCUACCACUCAAGCCUGGCACCCACACCAGAACUAGGAGGCAACUGACCCCCUGCGGGCAUUACCCCCCUAGACCCCUUCGAAGUGCCCCUCCUUAAUACAGCUGUUCUACUUGCCUCAGGGGUCACAGUCACCUGAGCUCACCACGCAAUUAUAGAGGGCAAGCGAAAACAAGCCAUCCACGCCCUAGCCUUAACAAUCCUCCUUGGUGCUUACUUCACCUUCCUCCAAGCCAUGGAGUACAAUGAGGCACCAUUCACAAUUGCAGAUGGGGUCUACGGCUGCACCUUCUUCGUAGCCACUGGCUUCCACGGGCUCCACGUCCUUAUCGGCUCCACAUUUUUAGCUAUUUGCCUUGCUCGCCAAAUCUCACAUCACUUUACAUCAGAACAUCAUUUUGGAUUCGAAGCAGCCGCAUGGUACUGACAUUUUGUAGACGUUGUAUGACUUUUCCUAUACAUUUCAAUUUACUGAUGAGGAUCAUAA